UGGCUUCUAAUUAAAGUCUGGCAUGAAUGANCGCAUGGGUAAUGACUGUCUUAGGAAUGUUGAUAUGAAAUUAUUAAGUUAGUGCAAAUGCUAAUGGAAAUAAAAAAGACGAGAAGACCCUAGAAACUUAAACUACUUUUGCUGGGGCGGCAGAAUUGCAUAUAACCAAUUACUUUACAUGAGCAGCGGUGCUGGAAGAAAAAGUUACUCUAGGGAUAACAGCAUAAUUUAAAUAGUUUGUGACCUCGAUGUUGGACUAGGGAAAUCACGCCUUAAAAGGGCGUGAUAAUAGCUCUGUUCGAGCUUUUAGCCCCUACGUGAUCUGAGUUCA
This 331-nucleotide ribosomal RNA is filed under the name Codringtonia parnassia. RNAcentral describes it as "LSU rRNA". It matches the Rfam family "Bacterial large subunit ribosomal RNA", at positions 1970 to 2613 of the family's 2925-position model. The record is from RNAcentral. Lineage: Eukaryota; Metazoa; Mollusca; Gastropoda; Stylommatophora; Helicidae.